This 496-nucleotide ribosomal RNA is filed under the name uncultured bacterium. RNAcentral describes it as "partial 16S ribosomal RNA". It matches the Rfam family "Bacterial small subunit ribosomal RNA", at positions 28 to 506 of the family's 1533-position model. The record is from RNAcentral.
GAUGAACGCUGGCGGCGUGCCUAAUACAUGCAAGUCGAGCGAACAGACGAGGAGCUUGCUCCUCUGAUGUUAGCGGCGGACGGGUGAGUAACACGUGGAUAACCUACCUAUAAGACUGGGAUAACUUCGGGAAACCGGAGCUAAUACCGGAUAACAUGUUGAACCGCAUGGUUCAACAGUGAAAGACGGUCUUGCUGUCACUUAUAGAUGGAUCCGCGCCGCAUUAGCUAGUUGGUAAGGUAACGGCUUACCAAGGCAACGAUGCGUAGCCGACCUGAGAGGGGGAUCGGCCACACUGGAACUGAGACACGGUCCAGACUCCUACGGGAGGCAGCAGUAGGGAAUCUUCCGAAAUGGGCGAAAGCCUGACGGAGCAACGCCGCGUGAGUGAAGAAGGUCUUCGGAUCGUAAACCGCUGUUAUUAGGGAAGAACAAAUGUGUAAGUAACUAUGCACGUCUUGACGGUACCUAAUCAGAAAGCCACGGCUAACUACGU